Molecule: long non-coding RNA, 561 nt
Filed under: Marmota monax (woodchuck)
Lineage: Eukaryota; Metazoa; Chordata; Mammalia; Rodentia; Sciuridae
Source: RNAcentral
ACUCCAAACAGCGGAGUUUAAGCAAGAAAGAUCUAUAUUUUUGUUUCUCAGAAAAGAAGCCCAAAUGUAAGCAAACUUGAGCUGACAUAAAGGCCACACGCACCGUCAGUGAAGGGAAAGCGAGGAAUAAGAGACGAGUAGAUGAGAAAUGAAAGACGGAGAGCAGGCAGGGACACACAGGAGAGUUUGUCUGUCCGAUAAAGGCCGCCUCUCUACAGGAGAGAGGGCAGCACGGGCUUGGGUUCUGGCACUUUCAUGGGACAGGCUCAGGAAUCAGAGCCAGGCGGGUCCUAACGCGGGUGGCUAGGGCUGGGUUGGCAUGAGGGAGUGGUGAGCCUUUCUCAGAAAUGCCCUCGGGCAGGAAAGUGACACUUUUUCCUUAAAAUAGUGGCUGUCACUUAAGAUGGCCGUCCAGAUGCUAAGCAAGGACCUUAUAUUCCCCCCUUUUUUGUUUUUUAUUGGGUCCUUUAGGGACAGGUCACUCUACUGUAACUGCUUCCUGCUGGGAAGGGGUGGCAUUUGAGUCCCUCAUUAGAGGCCCGGGAUGUCACUGGAAUGAUG